RNAcentral lists this ribosomal RNA (495 nucleotides) under uncultured bacterium. RNAcentral describes it as "bacterial SSU rRNA". It matches the Rfam family "Bacterial small subunit ribosomal RNA", at positions 903 to 1397 of the family's 1533-position model. The record is from RNAcentral.
AAAGGAAUAGACGGGGGCCCGCACAAGCGGAGGAACAUGUGGUUUAAUUCGAUGAUACGCGAGGAACCUUACCCGGGCUUGAAAUGAAGAGGAAUACAGGUGAAAGCCUGUAGCCAGCAAUGGUCUCUUUGUAGGUGCUGCAUGGUUGUCGUCAGCUCGUGCCGUGAGGUGUCGGCUUAAGUGCCAUAACGAGCGCAACCCUUUCUGAUAGUUACUAGCAGGUUAAGCUGAGGACUCUAUUGGGACUGCCACCGUAAGGUGUGAGGAAGGUGGGGAUGACGUCAAAUCAGCACGGCCCUUACGUCCGGGGCGACACACGUGUUACAAUGGGGGGUACAGAGGGCUGCUACCUGGCGACAGGAUGCUAAUCUCAUAAAACCCCUCUCAGUUCGGAUCGGAGUCUGCAACCCGACUCCGUGAAGCUGGAUUCGCUAGUAAUCGCGCAUCAGCCAUGGCGCGGUGAAUACGUUCCCGGGCCUUGCACACACCGCCCGU